CCUACGGGUGGCAGCAGUGAGGAAUAUUGGUCAAUGGACGAGAGUCUGAACCAGCCAAGUAGCGUGAAGGAUGACUGUCCUAUGGGUUGUAAACUUCUUUUAUAUGGGAAUAAAAUGUUCCACGUGUGGGACUGUGUAUGUACCAUAUGAAUAAGGAUCGGCUAACUCCGUGCCAGCAGCCGCGGUAAUACGGAGGGUCCGAGCGUUAUCUGGAUUUAUUGGGUUUAAAGGGAGCGUAGGUGGAUUGAUAAGUCAGUUGUGAAAGUUUGGGGCUCAACCGUAAAAUUGCAGUUGAAACUGGCAGUCUUGAGUACGUGAGAGGUGGGCGGAAUUCGUGGUGUAGCGGUGAAAUGCUGAGAUAUCACGAAGAACUCCGAUUGCGAAGGCAACUCACUGGACUGCAACUGACACUGAUGCUCGAAAGUGUGGGUAUCAAACAGGAUUAGAUACCCGAGUAGUC
RNAcentral lists this ribosomal RNA (460 nucleotides) under uncultured bacterium. RNAcentral's name for it is "partial 16S ribosomal RNA". It matches the Rfam family "Bacterial small subunit ribosomal RNA", at positions 338 to 795 of the family's 1533-position model. The record is from RNAcentral.